GAUGGAGAACGUAGCGAAAUGCGAUAAGUAAUGUGAAUUGCAGAAUUCAGUGAAUCAUCGAAUCUUUGAACGCACCUUGCGCUCCUUGGUAUUCCGAGGAGCAUGCCUGUUUGAGUGUCAUUAAUAUAUCAACCUUCUCUUUUUUGAGUUGUUUGGAUGUGGGGGUUUGCUGGCCUCUUAAAUGAUUCAGCUCCCCUGAAAUGCAUUAGCAGAACAACCUGUUCAUUAGCGUGAUAAUUAUCUAUGCUAUUGAAUGUGAGGGCAGUUCAGCUUUCUAACCGUCCUUGGACAAUUCAUCAUUAAUGUGACCUCAAAUCAGGUAGGACUACCCGCUGAACUUAAGCAUAUCAAUAAGCGGAGGA
This 362-nucleotide unclassified non-coding RNA is filed under the name soil metagenome. Its description in RNAcentral is "partial contains 5.8S ribosomal RNA, internal transcribed spacer 2, and large subunit ribosomal RNA". The stretch from base 1 to 120 matches the Rfam family "5.8S ribosomal RNA", at positions 35 to 154 of the family's 154-position model. The record is from RNAcentral.